Molecule: unclassified non-coding RNA, 376 nt
Filed under: soil metagenome
Description: partial contains 5.8S ribosomal RNA, internal transcribed spacer 2, and large subunit ribosomal RNA
Rfam family: 5.8S ribosomal RNA (bases 1-120)
Source: RNAcentral
GAUGAAGAACGCAGCGAAAUGCGAUAAGUAAUGUGAAUUGCAGAAUUCAGUGAAUCAUCGAAUCUUUGAACGCACCUUGCGCUCCUUGGUAUUCCGAGGAGCAUGCCUGUUUGAGUGUCAUUAAAUUCUCAACUACACUGACUUUGAAUUGGUGUGGCUUGGAUUUGGGGGGAAAAUUGUUGUGGGCUUUUUGUAUAGUCUGCUCCCCUGAAAUUGAUUAGCGGUACCUUUGUGGAACUGUCUACAGGUGUGAUAAUUAUCUACAUCUUAGACAUCUGCUGGAAUGCUGCUUUCUAAACCUUACUUGUAUUGACAAUCUUGACCUCAAAUCAGGUAGGACUACCCGCUGAACUUAAGCAUAUCAAUAAGCGGAGGA